GGCUGCACCAUGUUAAAACAACGGUUCCCGUACGAUCACCGAAGUUAAGCAAAGUCGAGCCUGGCCAAUACCUAGAUGGGUGACCGCUUGGAAAUACCAGAU
This is a non-coding RNA of Acanthosepion pharaonis, 102 nucleotides long. NCBI's taxonomy places the organism in Eukaryota, Metazoa, Mollusca, Cephalopoda, Sepiida, Sepiidae. The record is from the annotation of a GenBank genome assembly.